This 728-nucleotide long non-coding RNA is filed under the name Capra hircus (goat). RNAcentral describes it as "lncRNA (ENSCHIG00000001940.1)". Lineage: Eukaryota; Metazoa; Chordata; Mammalia; Artiodactyla; Bovidae. The record is from RNAcentral.
CUGUGCUGGUGACUAAUAAAGGCUCCUGACGUUUCUUGCCGAGUCUGGGAAGCCAGAAAUAAAAGCCACUUCCAGCUAGGUGUGCUCCAGCCUGAACAUGGACCAUUCACAGGAGGCACUGGUCCAGCCAUGCGGCACCUAUGGACAGGCACUGCUGUGCUUGGUGUCAGCUGCAGCCGUCCCAGGGCCUUUGAAUGACAGCCAAAGGUGUCUCCUCACCACCGGCAGAGCAAUCAUUCUCCAGACGUCAGGCAGACAUUUUCACAGCUCUCCCCACACUAGAGAUUUCUAGUUCUCCUGAAGACCCAGGGUAAGAGAUUGUGCUGUCACUGGACAGAACAAGAUAGAAACAGCAUCUCAAGAGUGCCAGGGAGCACAUGGGCAAGCAGCAGGGAGCGAUGACGACUGUGAUGGACCACACACUGCCACUGUCUCAGACACGGAGCCCGUCACCAACUUGCUCCUCCUCCAAGAUCAGUUCCUCCAGUGACCGUCUCUACCAAGAGAAUGAAGAGCGCUGGACCAGAUACCACAGGACAUUCCUGAUGCCUGAGACACAGUCCCUUUCUUCAAAAUACUAUCUAAGUGUAGGAAAGAGGAACAUGCAGAGAACACAUGGAGAAAAGCCACCAGAAAGUUCCAGGGAAGAUGUUAUGAAAGUCUGGGGAAGACAGAACUUAUUUCACUUGGUUAAGUUCUCUAUGGGGCACCUGAUGAUGUUUGAAUAA